CGGACGGGUGAGUAACGCGUAAAGAACUUGCCCUUUAGACUGGGAUAACAGAGGGAAACUUCUGAUAAUACUGGAUAAGUUAGUAUAUCGCAUGAUAUGCAAAUGAAAGCUACGGCACUAAAGGAGAGCUUUGCGUCCUAUUAGCUAGUUGGUAAGGUAAGAGCUUACCAAGGCGAUGAUAGGUAGCCGGCCUGAGAGGGUGGACGGCCACAAGGGGACUGAGAUACGGCCCUUACUCCUACGGGAGGCAGCAGAC
Molecule: ribosomal RNA, 256 nt
Filed under: uncultured Leptotrichia sp.
Lineage: Bacteria; Fusobacteriati; Fusobacteriota; Fusobacteriia; Fusobacteriales; Leptotrichiaceae
Description: partial 16S ribosomal RNA
Rfam family: Bacterial small subunit ribosomal RNA
Source: RNAcentral